This 904-nucleotide small RNA is filed under the name uncultured zygomycete. Its description in RNAcentral is "eukaryotic LSU rRNA". The stretch from base 620 to 904 matches the Rfam family "Eukaryotic large subunit ribosomal RNA", at positions 1 to 281 of the family's 3401-position model. The record is from RNAcentral. Lineage: Eukaryota; Fungi.
CUUGGUCAUUUAGAGGAAGUAAAAGUCGUAACAAGGUUUCCGUAGGUGAACCUGCGGAAGGAUCAUUCAUAAUAAGUGUUUUAUGGCACUUUUUAAAUCCAUAUCCACCUUGUGUGCAAUGUCAGUUGUUCUCUUUUUUGAGAAUGACCAAACAUCAACUUAUUCUUUAACUCUUUGUCUGAAAAAUAUUAUGAAUAAAAUAAUUCAAAAUACAACUUUCAACAACGGAUCUCUUGGCUCUCGCAUCGAUGAAGAACGCAGCGAAAUGCGAUACGUAAUGUGAAUUGCAGAAUUCAGUGAAUCAUCGAAUCUUUGAACGCAUAUUGCGCUCUUUGGUAUUCCGAAGAGCAUGCUUGUUUGAGUAUCAGUAAACACCUCAAAGACUUCAAUUUGUUUUGAAUGGCUUUGGACUUGAGCAAUCCCAACACCAGUCUUUACGAUCGGUGGAGGGUUGCUUGAAAUGCAGGUGCAGCUGGACAUUCUCCUGAGCUAAAAGCAUAUUUAUUUAGUCCCGUCAAACGGAUUAUUACUUUUGCUGCAGCUAACAUAAAGGGAGUUUGACCGUAUUGGCUGACUGAUGCAGGAUUUCACAAGGGUCGGCAACGAUUCUUGUAAAACUCGAUCUCAAAUCAAGUAAGACUACCCGCUGAACUUAAGCAUAUCAAUAAGCGGAGGAAAAGAAACUAACAAGGAUUCCUCUAGUAACGGCGAGUGAAGCGGGAUGAGCUCAAAUUUAAAAUCUGGCUGGUUUACUAGUCCGAAUUGUAGUUUAUAGAAGCGUUUUCGGUGGCAGCCUGGGUAUAAGUCCUUUGGAAUAGGGUAUCAUAGAGGGUGAGAAUCCCGUCUUUGACUCAGUGCAUGCUACUAUGUGAUACGUUUUCAAAGAGUCGAGUUGUUUGGGAAU